Molecule: transfer RNA, 73 nt
Filed under: Sphaerodactylus townsendi
Lineage: Eukaryota; Metazoa; Chordata; Lepidosauria; Squamata; Sphaerodactylidae
Description: tRNA-Asp
Rfam family: tRNA
About the family: Transfer RNA (tRNA) molecules are approximately 80 nucleotides in length.
Source: RNAcentral
GGGGCUGUGGCUCAGUUGGUAAGGCAUUUGUUUGUCAUGCAGAAGAUCCCAAGUUCAAUCCCUGGCAUUUCCA